UCUAAAGUUAACCUGUUAAAUGCCUCAUCUUCUGGAAACGACAGGCAUUCACUAUCUCUGACGGAGAAGUACAUAGACAGUGUCCAGCUAUCCUUCGAACCUUCGUCAAAAGAGAAGUGGUCAGGAACCACCGAAGACACGACGGAGAAGCCGCAGAUCCCCCAGAACAGCCCAGUGAGCAACGCAGAGAACGCCUGAG
Long non-coding RNA from Choloepus didactylus (southern two-toed sloth), 199 nucleotides. RefSeq lists it as uncharacterized. Lineage: Eukaryota; Metazoa; Chordata; Mammalia; Pilosa; Megalonychidae. The record is from RefSeq and is a predicted model, not a curated record. The transcript has 3 exons.